AUACGUAGGGUGCAAGCGUUAAUCGGAAUUACUGGGCGUAAAGCGUGCGCAGGCGGCUUUGUAAGACAGAGGUGAAAUCCCCGGGCUCAACCUGGGAACUGCCUUUGUGACUGCAAGGCUAGAGUACGGCAGAGGGGGAUGGAAUUCCGCGUGUAGCAGUGAAAUGCGUAGAUAUGCGGAGGAACACCGAUGGCGAAGGCAAUCCCCUGGGCCUGUACUGACGCUCAUGCACGAAAGCGUGGGGAGCAAACAGGAGUAGAUACCCUGGUAGUCCACGCCCUAAACGAUGUCAACUGGUUGUUGGGUCUUCAUUGACUCAGUAACGAAGCUAACGCGUGAAGUUGACCGCCUGGGGAGUACGGCCGCAAGGUUGAAACUUAAAUGAAUUGGCGGGG
Molecule: ribosomal RNA, 395 nt
Filed under: uncultured bacterium
Lineage: Bacteria
Description: partial 16S ribosomal RNA
Rfam family: Bacterial small subunit ribosomal RNA
Source: RNAcentral